This 70-nucleotide transfer RNA is filed under the name Dipodomys ordii (Ord's kangaroo rat). It matches the Rfam family "tRNA". Rfam says of the family: Transfer RNA (tRNA) molecules are approximately 80 nucleotides in length. Their secondary structure includes four short double-helical elements and three loops (D, anti-codon, and T loops). The record is from Rfam by way of RNAcentral. Lineage: Eukaryota; Metazoa; Chordata; Mammalia; Rodentia; Heteromyidae.
GGGAAUGUGGCUCAGUGGUAGAGUGCUUGCCUAACAAGCAUGAAGUGCUGAGUUUGAUUCCUCAGUACCA